This 332-nucleotide ribosomal RNA is filed under the name uncultured bacterium. RNAcentral's name for it is "bacterial SSU rRNA". It matches the Rfam family "Bacterial small subunit ribosomal RNA", at positions 568 to 898 of the family's 1533-position model. The record is from RNAcentral.
CGUGUAGGCGGCCUCGUAAGUACCUUGUGAAAGCCCUCGUCUCAACCGAGGAACUGCUUGGUAUACUGCGAGGCUUGAGGCAGGUAGGGGUGCUUGGAACUCUGGGUGGAGCGGUGAAAUGCGUAGAGAUCUAGGGGAACGCCGGUGGCGAAAGCGGAGCACUGGGCCUGACCUGACGCUGAGACGCGAAAGCGUGGGUAGCAAACGGGAUUAGAUACCCCGGUAGUCCACGCCCUAAACGAUGCGCACUAGGUUUGCUGACUUCUGACAGCCAGCGAGCCGGAACAAAAGCGAUAAGUGCGCCGCCUGGGGAGUACGGCCGCAAGGCUAAA